GACGAACGCUGGCGGCGUGCCUAAUACAUGCAAGUCGAACGCACAGUUUAUACCGUAGCUUGCUACACCAUAGACUGUGAGUUGCGAACGGGUGAGUAACGCGUAGGUAACCUGCCUGGUAGCGGGGGGUAACUAUUGGAAACGAUAGCUAAUACCGCAUAAUAUUGAUUAUUGCAUGAUAAUUGAUUGAAAGAUGCUAUUGCAUCACUACCAGAUGGACCUGCGUUGUAUUAGCUAGUAGGUGAGGUAACGGCUCACCUAGGCGACGAUACAUAGCCGACCUGAGAGGGUGAUCGGCCACACUGGGACUGAGACACGGCCCAGACUCCUACGGGAGGCAGCAGUAGGGAAUCUUCGGCAAUGGACGAAAGUCUGACCGAGCAACGCCGCGUGAGUGAAGAAGGUUUUCGGAUCGUAAAGCUCGGUUGUAAGAGAAGAACGGGUGUGAGAGUGGAAAGUUCACACUGUGACGGUAUCUUACCAGAAAGAGACGGCUAACUACGUG
This 505-nucleotide ribosomal RNA is filed under the name uncultured bacterium. RNAcentral's name for it is "partial 16S ribosomal RNA". It matches the Rfam family "Bacterial small subunit ribosomal RNA", at positions 28 to 507 of the family's 1533-position model. The record is from RNAcentral.